This 63-nucleotide transfer RNA is filed under the name unidentified. RNAcentral describes it as "Strongylium nakanei tRNA-Ala". The record is from RNAcentral.
AAAUAAGAAGCAAAAAAUUGCAUUUAGUUUCGACCUAAAAAUUUGACUUCAAGUCCUUAUUUU